RNAcentral lists this ribosomal RNA (1282 nucleotides) under Spadella cephaloptera. RNAcentral's name for it is "16S ribosomal RNA". Lineage: Eukaryota; Metazoa; Chaetognatha; Sagittoidea; Phragmophora; Spadellidae. The record is from RNAcentral.
UUUUCUUUUAGCCCCAAAUGCUAACGUGCUUUUACACCAUUUUAAUUUUGCAAAUUAGAAGUUAAAAUAAAUUUCGAAUCUUAAUUUCAAUGUAUAUUUAUUUACUAUUUCCUCGACAAGGAAAAAAUUUAAGGUAAAUUUUUUAAAUUUCUUUAGUUUCCUUUCGUACUAUAAAGAAUUUUUUAUUUUAUUUAUUAAUUAAAAGAUUUAAACCAACCUGGCUCACGCCGGUUUGAACUCAAAUCACGUAGAGAUUAUUUACUUGGACGAACAGUCCAUAAUUAGUGCAUUCUUCUGCAAAAAUGAAAAUUUUCUAAUUUUCUCUGGUUCAACAUCGAGGUCAUACUCUUUUCUUAAAAUUGGGUCUUCUAAGAAAAUAUUAUGCUGUUAUCCCUUUAGUAUCUAUAUUUCUAUCAUUUACUAAAUAAAUAGGUAAAAACACUCUGAAAUAAGAAAAUUAUAUUCUCUGUUGCCCCAACAAUUCAAAUUUCUUUUUUCUAAAAAAAAAAAUUAAAAGAUUAAAGGGUCUUAUCGUCUUUUUUUUUAUUGGGGGAGAUUUAACCUCCAUCUUAUUUUACUAAAUUUAUAGAAAAUUUUUCCCGCGUUAACCCAUUCAGACAAUCCGCCAAUUAGGCGGCUAGUAAUUAUGCUACCUUUGCAAAUUAUUUUGGCUUUUUUAAUUUUUAAAAUUAUGUGAGCAGGGCCUACUUCAAUUUAAUUUUCCUUUUUUUGAAGAAAUGUUUUUGUUAAACAGUCGGGGAUUUUGAUUAUUUAUUUUUGUUUUGAAUUCUUUUAAAUUUAUUUUUUUCUCUAAAGAUUAUUUUAUUUUGAAAUUGAUCUUAUUUUAUUCCCGGAUAUUUUUCAAUUUUCCUUUUUCCAAAGUUUUUUGAAAAAUUUUUUUUUUUUCUAAUAUCUUAUCCUCUUUGAUAGGUAAUUUAUUUUUGUUUACUUUCUAAGAAAUUGAUCAAUAGCCAGUUUUUUAGGUCCGAUUUUCUUUUUUAGAACUUUUUGUUUUACUCCUCUUUUUUAUGAGAAAAAUAUAUUUUUUUUGUUUUUAGAUCACCUAAAUUCGGUUCCUUUAGUCGUAAUACAAAAAGACUUUUUCAAAAAAUGGAAUUUUCUUUUCUUCAGUACGUGUAAAAUACUUUAAAUCCUUUCGGUUUUUUGAUUUACAGUCAUUUUUCAUUUAACAGAUGAACUUAUUUUCAAUAAAUUUGAUUUGAAAUCAAAAGUUACUUAGUCUCCAAAACUAAAUUCUUAGCUUUUUACAAGAAAGCGAAUU